AGAAUUAGAAAUAGAAUUAGAAGAGUGAAAAGAAAAGGAACAAAGAGUUUGAUCAGCGUCGGGAAUUUUGUUGGAUCGAAUUGGUGAACUUUUAAUUUACGUGAUUUUUAAAUCGAACACGAAUACUGGUUAGGAUGGAUGUGACGGAUGAUCAUUACGAUUCCGUCGCAGCCGAAAAUGAGGAAGGGAAAUUCGACGUUGAGGAUAAAGAGGAGAAGAAGAACGACGAUGAUGAUUCGCCCACGGUCGAGGAGACCUACGAGGUCACUACUACCAAACGUAAGACCAUCCGCACCAACUAUAAGAUCCAAGAAACUUCUGCGUCCACUAAAACAACCACCAUGACAACAGCGGCAAAGCUAUACGGCAAGGAUUUAAGUGAAUACGAAGACGUUGACGUGGACGAAUUGCUGGCACAACUAACGCCCGAAGAAAUCAAUAUACUUGCCAAGGAAGUUGAUCCAGAUGACAGUUUUAUGCCUCCGUCGCAGCGUUGUAGUUACGAAUGCGACAAGAGUCCCACAGGUCCGCUUAACCGAAAGAAACUCAUCGAACAUAUUAACAAACAAGCUUUGGAAACACCGGAUAGACCAGAAUUAAAACCUUAUGUACCUGGAGUUAUUAGAGGAAAAAAAUGGAUUCCACCGUCUCAAGAAAGUGCGAAAGAAAAAGAAGCGGAAGAGCAAAUUGCGAUAGAUCUUGGCGAAGAAUAUGAACAAGCAUUAUCUAAUGCGACUCAAGAAGAAAUUAUUGAUCUUGCUGCAAUUCUUGGAUUCCAUUCUAUGAUGAAUCAGGAUCAAUAUCACGCAUCUUUAUUAAAUUCUGGACAGCCUGUGGGAUUGGGCUGGGACGGAGUGACAAAAGCUAGUCAACCAAAGCCUUAUCCGAUGGAACCACCUAAUGAUACGGAUGUUGAUGCAACUAUUAAACAAGUUAGAGAUGAUGAUUCUUCGCUAACCGAAUUAAACUGGAAUAAUAUUAAAAAUAUCUCAGAUGAGAAAUUUAUCCAGUUGUUCGAAGGAUUAGAAGGAAACACGCAUCUUGAGUCAUUGAGUUUAACCAAUGUUGGACUUACUGACAAAACGGCCCAAAGGUUGGCAGAAGCCAUGGAGAAAAACUCUACGCUUAGAGUAUUAAACGUGGAGACAAAUUUUGUAAGUCCACCUGUGACAGUGAGACUCAUUAGAGCCCUUCUUAAGACCAAAUCGAUCGAAGAAUUCCGAUGUUCCAAUCAGAGAUCACAAGUAUUGGGUAACAAAAUUGAAAUGGAAAUCACACAAUUGGUAGAACAAAAUCCAACGUUAUUACGACUUGGACUUCACUUUGAGUUUAAUGAUGCCAGACAUCGCGUUGCUGCACAUUUACAACGUAACAUCGAUAGGAUCUGUCGUGUGGAACCUAUGGAACGCGCUAAGGUCGUAGCGAUCGGUUCGGGUCGUGACACAUUCACCGUUCUUCCUGUAGGAGCUCUAAAAAAUCGUGGCUAGCGCUAAAAACACGGCGCAUACGGCAGUCCCGGCUCGGGGUGGCGACAUCUUAACGCGAGUGGCGUUCGCCUAGAUCGCCUACGCCGCACGGGAAGGGCUUCCCGCAACUAUACCAUCGGCUGGGCCCUACAUUGACGAUCAUAUAACGAUGGCGACGACGAUAUAUGAUGACAUUAAGGACGACGAUCGAGUAAAUUAAAUUAAAAUGAAAUAUUCGAAGGAUCCUUUUAUCUUAUCUUUAUCCUAUUUAAUUAGACGUAUGCUUACACUUUUAUUUCUUCGAUUCAUCGACAAAGGCACGUAUAUGUAUGUAUAUAUAUAUGUAUGUAUGUAUGUAUGUAUGUAUGUAUGUAUGUAUGUAUGUAUGUAUACAUAUAAACACACACACGCAUACACACGAUAUGCACUAUGCUAUAUAGCGAUCGAACUAGUAACAAUUAUAUCUAUUGGUAAUAAUGAAAUAUUGAAGAAUUAUCUCUAAUAACUAAUUAUGAUUAAUCGCAUCAAUUUUUUUAUUACACUUUUUUUCUAAUUCGAAUCGAAAAUCAACGAUGUUGCUUUUCGAUAUAUUCAAAUCGAAAGGAUACAAAAAGCGAUUAUUUCUUUCUAUUUUUUUUUCUUUAUUUUUUUCUUUCUUCUUUUUAUUUAUUCCAUUCGUAUUCGAUAUUCUUACGUUGUUAAUUUUAUUGACGAGUAAAUAUCGAUAAGUUUUUAAAUAAAUAAAUAUAUAUAUAUAUGUUACAUUUUAACGAUCCAAAUAACGAUUUAAAAAGCGAUAUUAGAAAUAAAUUGUGAUUCAAUCUCCAAGAGAAAGUCGAUUUAAAUAUUAAAGAUAUAUUGCGAGUAAGUACGUUGAUCGAUUUUUUUUUUGUUCUUUUUUUUUUGUUCUAUCGAUAUUCGAUAAUAUACAGUACGAUCGAUGUGACAAUUGAAAAAAUACAAUUUUAAAAUGUAAGUAAUGAUUUACAUAAAUUUGCUUCGAUAAAAUUUAAUCGCGUAGCUUUGUUGUUUACGCUAAGAUGGAAGGCAACACGUUAGUAAAUGUAUUUAUCAUCGUCACGCUUAUCAUAAAAGCUGUCCUGUAGUGUUCACGCGCGUUAAGCCGCGUUAAGCUACAUUUAUGAUCUUUCACUUGCAUUCGGACAGUUUGAUAUAUGGCCUUCGUGUGUUCUUUUAUUGAAUAUAUAUAUAUAUAUAUAUAUAUAUAUAUACACAUAUAUAUACACACACGUAUAUAUAUAUAUAUAUAUGUAUGUAUGUAUGUAUGUAUGUAUGUAUGUAUAUGGGUACAUAUAUACGUACACAUUUCUUUCUCUGUAAAUGAUUAGGAAAAGCGAAAUUGUUAUUCACAAAUUUCGCAGUUGACGACGAAAAGCGCUUAGUAUAAAAAUUCGUAAAAGAGAGAGAGAAAGAGAGAGAGAGAGAGAGAGAGAGAGAAAAGAAAAGUAAAAAAAAAAAAAGAAAGAAAGAAGAAAAGAAAAAAAUCCUUCGCAUUUGCACUCUGUUUUCGUUGUUUUCGUAAAGUGAGACAACUACGAAGCGUGGAUAAAAAAAAAAUAAAGGGAAAAGAAAAUUCUCUUUUACGAGGUUGAACGAAUAGUUCGAACGAUUUUAUUUUUCUUUUUAUUUUAUUUUUUCUUUUAUUUUUUUGUUAUUAUUUUAACCAAACGAAGAUCACCAAAGGAUGUAGAUAAUUUUCUACACGUCACAGAUGCGUCCACGAAGCCUAAACCUGCUUUCGAUUUCACUUGACCACUUGCGUGUUUUAUGGGGUGCAAGAGGGAUGAAAAGGGGGAAGAUCGAGGGUUAUUCACAACUUAAUCCCAUCUGUUUCGACUACUCGAUCAACCCAAGAGACUUUUAACACCUGUGUCUUUCUUUUUGCGAUAUAUUAACACGUUCCGUGCCGUUUGUGUUUCAUCGAUGAAUACAAUUUCCGAUUGUUCGAUAUUUUCGAUUAUAAGAUAAAGAAACAAAUAGAUCGUAUUAUUGAUAAUGUUAAUGUUAAAUAAAAUUUCAUUCAAGUAUUAUCUUUCGUUUUGCAUUACACAUAUAUAUAUAUAUAUAUAUAUAUAUAUAUAUAUAUAUAUAUAUAUUGCGAACCUUUUUCUUUCGAUUUAAUAACGAUUAAAUUAAUUUCUUUUUUCCUCUUCAUUUUUUGCUUUGUUUGCUUCUCCUUUUUCCUUUUGUUCUCUUUUCUCUCUAGUUAUUCGAGAAAUAAAAUCGAUUUAAUUAUCGAAUAUAAUGUGACUGAUAUAACGGGAAAAAAUUAAUGACAAGUUGCAUUUAAAUCGUUGUGUGUCGGCAUGGGAUGUGUUAAAAAAAAAAAAAAAAAAAAAAGAGAGAGAGAGAGAAAAAAAAUGAAAUAGAAAUGAGAGUUCGAUAUUAGAUCGAAGAGAUCCCAUUCGCGUUCGUUUUUAUAAUUAAAACGAUUUCAGGAAAAAAUAAUUCCAAUUCUUUUCGCUUCGUGUCUUUUGCAAUCGAACUUGGACUACGAACUUCUCUUACGGUAUUUACAUUUUAUAAUAGGGAAAUAUGGAAAAGAGGUGUCGUUUCCCAAAGGAUUUUUUUCUGUUCUUUCUUCUUUUCUUUUUAUUUUUUUUUCUUUUUUUGCUUGCUCGCCUUUUUCUUCUCUCUAUAUUUCUCUCAAUAUCUUUCGAGCAUUCCGAUUAAUUACUUUCGCGAGAAGAGACGAACACGAAGGAUCUACACACACACAUAUAUAUAUAUAAAAUAUAUAUAUAUAUAUAUAUAUAUAUAUAUAUAUAUAAGGGAAAAAAUAUUAUUAACAAUAAAAUCUAUUGAUCGUUAUCAAUAUAGAUAGAUACGUGGCUUAUGAAUGUAUUUAAAAUGCUGCUGCUUUUUUUUUGUCGUUAUUCUUCUUCUUAAAAUGGAAUUAAAUUAAAACUUGAAAAUGAUUGAAUUAAAUAAAAGAAAUAAAAUAUUUGCGAAACGCCGAAAGAGAGGAUAGCUAGAUUGAGCGUUGACAUUUUUUCUUCUUUCUUUCUUUCUUUUUUUUUUUUUUUUCAAUAUCAAUAGUCGCGUCGUCGUUCGAAAAUUUCUUUCUCACAAUUUUACUCUUGUAAGAUAAGUUACAAUAAAAAAGAAACGGAAAGAGCCAGAAAAUAAGUAACUUCUCUUUUUUGAUCGAUUCUGCGAGAUAGCCCUUUUUUGAUUGCGGUUGAAGCAAAAAAAAAAAAAAUAGGUAGAGAGAGAGAGAGAGAGAGAGAGAGAGAGUAAGAUGUAAGAGUGAUUUUAUUGUGAAAGUCGCCGUAAAGAAAUUAAUAAUAGUAAUAUGAACGAGAAAAAAAAGAAAAAAAAAAUUACCAUUAACAAAAAAGAAAAUAAUAAGAAAAAUGAUUACGUAUAUUAAUUAUUAAAUAUAUUAUAAUAUAUAUAUAUUGCGAAACUUAUCUUAUAUUUUUUUUUGUUAAGUCGAGAUAACGUCGAUGAGAUAGUGCGCUCGGAAAAAUUUUUUUUUUCUUUCUUUCUUUCUUUUUUUUUUAUUAUUAUUCUUUUUUUAUUUUAAAAUUUUUAACCACUUAAUCUGAUUCAAUUUACGUAACGAGAGAUCGGUUCGAUGGAUUCGCAUUAAUUUUUUACCGAGCGUAGAAAUCGGAAACAAUAUAUAUAUAUAUAUAUAUAUAUAUAUAUAUAUAUAUAUUUCUGUGUUCUUUUUAUUUAUUUAUUUAUUUAUUCUCUUUUCUUCUUUUUUUUUUUGUUAUUAUUCGAAUCUCGAAAUACAUACGCAUAUAUAAAAUUUCAAUGAACCCCUCUCGCAAGAAUUUUCAAUCUAAAAUGUUUUACGCGAAUUUAAAAAAAAUAUUCCAUUCCUUCGAAAUUUAUAUUAAAAAUAUAAAAUAUGAAUUAUCGAAAAGAUUCGAGAUAACUUUUCGAUUAAUUCUGCACGUUCUCCAUCGGCGUUUUAAUUAUUAUCCAUUAAGGCACUAACGAGUCGUUGUUCUAAUGAAUAAUAAUAUUACUAUUAUUAUUAUUACUACUACUACUACUAUUAUUAUUAUUAUUAUUAUUAUUAUUAUUAUUAUUAUUAUUAUUAUUAUUAUUAUUAUUAUUAUUAUCAUCGAUAGAAAUCAGUCUGUACAUAUUGUCUUCGUUGUCGUUUAUAAUCGAUCACUGUGACCUACAUAAUAUCUAUGUACGUAUGCAUGAUGCGUGUCCGAAAAGACGAAUGAGAAAAUAAGAUGAGAUGAGAUGAGAUGAGAUGAGAUGAGAUGAGAUGAGAUGAGAUGAAAUGAAAUGAUAUGAGAUGAGAUGAGAUGAGAUGAGAUGGGAGUACAAGACGAGUACGAGUACGAGUAUUAAAAUGAAUGAAUGAAAGAAAGAUAGAACGAAUGAGCAAGAAAGAUAAGGAGAUACAUUUGUCAUUGCUCGAAUGUAUGCGUUUACGGUAUGUAUGUAAGUGGGUGAACAUCGAAGAUCUUGACAAAAGUUUUUCUCUUGGCAAGAUUAAUUAAAUUUAAGCUAAUCCAUUGUUACUUUACAAACAAUAAUUAUAUCGAUGUCUGAAGAAAAUGGAUGUUAGAUUAUGAAUGAAACGGUAGAGAGAAUGAAAUAAUAAAAGAAUGAUUAAAGAGUUCUGUGUGCGUGUGAGAGAAAGAGAAAAUGUUCGUAUAUGUCCACAUGUGUGUGUGUGUGUGUGUAUGUUUUACGAAGAAGGAAACUAAAGAAAAAUAGAAAGAUAACUACAAGUAUUGUAAUCAUAAUAUGCAUCGCGUUUUGCAAUAUUUCGAUUCUAUCGUUUAUUAAAUCUAUCGUAUUACUUUUCUUUUCUUUUCUCUCUCUCUUUUCUUUUUCUGAUAUUUUAUUUUUUUCUUUUUGUUUUUUCCUUCUUCUUCUUCUUCUAUUUUAUUUUUCUUUUUUGUUUCUUUUCUUUUUAAUUUUUCUUCUUUUUCUUCGUCUUCUUCUUCUUCUACAUCUUCAUCUUCUUCUUCUUCUUCAUCUUCUUCUUCUUCCAUUUUAUUCUUCUUUUUCUCUCUUCUUCUACAUCCUCUUCUCGCUUUCUUUUUUAUUUCAUUUUACUCUCUUAUUUUACUUUUCUUUUUUUUAAUUUUUUUUUUUUUCUUCAAUGUCUUCUUUCUAUUUUUAUUUUACUUUAUUUUAUUUUAUUUUAUUCUCUUCUUCUUAUUUUACUUUUCUUUUUUGUUUUCUUUUCCCUUCUCCUUUUUCUUCUUCUUCUUCAUCUUCUUCUUUUAAAUAUGCACUUCGACAAACCGACGCGCGCAUUACUUAUUUACUAUUACCACGUAAUUAUUUACUACGUAAACACUCAGUAAUGAAACUUUUCAAAUGCACGCGCACGAUCGAAGCCUUUGCUGCUAAGCCUUAUCUUGUAUAACACGAAAUUUAAAUAAACUUGACGAAAUGGACGAAAUGAAGAUAUUUUUUUCUUUUCAAUUUCUCUCUCUCUCUCUCUCUCUCUCUCUCUUUUUAUCAUCUCACUGUCAUAGUUCACACGUUUAAAUACAUUAAUACGAUUCUAAUGAAUUUGCUCGACUCUUCGAGAAAUCAUUCGUUUUUUUAUUGUUGUUGUUGUCGUUAUUGUUAUUUUUUCAUUCACUUCUGUUUUCAUUUUUAUUCUUUUAUCUCUUUUUAAAUCUUGAAAGAAAAAAAACCAUCACAGGUUCAAACUUAAAAAUUUCAUUUCAAGAAUUACGAAUUAUUCUACGAAAUUUCGUGUAAUAUUAAAUCCCGUCGUUUAGUUUCUAAUAUUAGAACGUAUAUAUGCAUUCUAUUUCAAAAUUUUUCCAUCAUUCAUAUCAUUUUUUUUCUUUCUUUUUUUUUUUCGAAAAAACGCGCACGUCGAAAUUCCGUUUAAAAUUUUUUACGAAUUGUAGUUACGCAAAAUGUAAUAUUUCGCGUAAUAAUCAAUCGAAAAUCUUUUUACACGUAAUAUCGAUUAUUUAUUUAAAAAAAAAAAAUAAAAGAAAUAAAGGAAAAAGAGAAAUUAAAAUUAACAUUGCUUACGUUACAUUUUUAAUUUUCUUUUCUUUUUUUUUUUUUUCUUUUUUCUUAAUCCUUUAACGUUACCAUUAACAUUAUUUUCUUUCGGAAAACACAAUCAACUUUGAUCAAUGUACAAAUCUCUCUCUCUCUCUCUUUCUCUUUGUAUUACCAACUGAAGUUACGACGAAGGAGACACGGAAGUAUGGGGUGUCAAGAGCGUUGUUAGGUAAAUUACCUAUGUACCUAAUUCAUAGGAAGUACUCCAAAGGAUAAACAAAGUGAAUCCGUCGUGUCCGUUGUAAUCCUGCCGUAGUAUUCCAAGUAAGUCAAUAAAACUGUCAGAUCGAAGGAAA
This is an RNA transcript of Vespula vulgaris, 7804 nucleotides long. It is a transcript of the gene named tropomodulin, with no coding region annotated. Lineage: Eukaryota; Metazoa; Arthropoda; Insecta; Hymenoptera; Vespidae. The record is from RefSeq and is a predicted model, not a curated record. The transcript is spliced from 11 exons.